GUCAGUAUGGCAGAAUAGUGCAAUGAACUUAAAAUUCAUACAUGGAUAUUAAUUAUUCUACUGAAA
Molecule: transfer RNA, 66 nt
Filed under: Yanocephalus yanonis
Lineage: Eukaryota; Metazoa; Arthropoda; Insecta; Hemiptera; Cicadellidae
Description: tRNA-Leu
Source: RNAcentral